RNAcentral lists this ribosomal RNA (260 nucleotides) under uncultured bacterium. RNAcentral's name for it is "partial 16S ribosomal RNA". It matches the Rfam family "Bacterial small subunit ribosomal RNA", at positions 524 to 776 of the family's 1533-position model. The record is from RNAcentral.
UACAGGGGGUGCAAACGUUGCUCGGAAUCAUUGGGCGGUAAAGCGCACGUAGGCCGGUUCGUUAUGUCGGAUGUGAAAGCCCUUGGCUUAACCGAGGAAGUGCAUCCGAAACUGGCGAGCUAGAGUACUAAAGAGGAUCGCGGAAUUCCCGGUGUAGAGGUGAAAUUCGUAGAUAGUCGGGAGGAACACCGGGUGGCGAAGGCGGCGAUCUGGGUAGAUACUGAACGCGUGAGGUGGCGAAAGCGUGGGGAGCAAACAGG